GAUGAACGCUAGCGAUAGGCUUAACACAUGCAAGUCGAGGGGCAGCAUGGUCUUAGCUUGCUAAGACUGAUGGCGACCGGCGCACGGGUGCGUAACGCGUAUGCAACUUGCCUCACAGAGGGGGAUAACCCGUCGAAAGACGGACUAAUACCGCGUACACUCUAUUUUGGGCAUCCAAGGUAGAGGAAAUGAAAUUCGCUGUGAGAUAGGCAUGCGUCCCAUUAGCUAGUUGGUGAGGUAACGGCUCACCAAGGCGACGAUGGGUAGGGGAACUGAGAGGUUGAACCCCCACACUGGUACUGAGACACGGACCAGACUCCUACGGGAGGAAGCAGUGAGGAAUAGUGGUCAAUGGGCGAGAGCCUGAACCAGCCAAGUCGCGUGAAGGAUGACUGUCUUAUGGAUUGGAAACUUCUUUUGUAGGGGAAUAAAGAGGGGCACGUGUGCCCCAGUGAAUGUACCCUACGAAUAAGCAUCGGCUAACUCCGU
Molecule: ribosomal RNA, 489 nt
Filed under: uncultured bacterium
Lineage: Bacteria
Description: partial 16S ribosomal RNA
Rfam family: Bacterial small subunit ribosomal RNA
Source: RNAcentral